AGUGAACGCUGGCGGUAGGCCUAACACAUGCAAGUCGAACGGCAGCACAGGAGAGCUUGCUCUCUGGGUGGCGAGUGGCGGACGGGUGAGGAAUACAUCGGAAUCUACUCUGUCGUGGGGGAUAACGUAGGGAAACUUACGCUAAUACCGCAUACGACCUACGGGUGAAAGCAGGGGACCUUCGGGCCUUGCGCGAUUGAAUGAGCCGAUGUCGGAUUAGCUAGUUGGCGGGGUAAAGGCCCACCAAGGCGACGAUCCGUAGCUGGUCUGAGGGGAGGAUCAGCCACACUGGAACUGAGACACGGUCCAGACUCCUACGGGGGGAAGCAGUGGGGAAUAUUGGACAAUGGGCGCAAGCCUGAUCCAGCCAUACCGCGUGGGUGAAGAAGGCCGUCGGGUUGUAAAGCCCUUUUGUUGGGAAAGAAAUCCAGCUGGCUAAUACCCGGUUGGGAUGACGGUACCCAAAGAAUAAGCACCGGCUAACUUCGUGCCAGCCGCCGCCGUAA
This 506-nucleotide ribosomal RNA is filed under the name uncultured bacterium. Its description in RNAcentral is "partial 16S ribosomal RNA". It matches the Rfam family "Bacterial small subunit ribosomal RNA", at positions 29 to 523 of the family's 1533-position model. The record is from RNAcentral.